This is an RNA transcript of Beta vulgaris subsp. vulgaris (sugar beet), 2148 nucleotides long. RefSeq lists it as uncharacterized. NCBI's taxonomy places the organism in Eukaryota, Viridiplantae, Streptophyta, Magnoliopsida, Caryophyllales, Amaranthaceae. The record is from RefSeq and is a predicted model, not a curated record. The transcript is spliced from 4 exons.
AAGCGGCUAUAACAAAAUCAAAACCGACCCUUCCACCCACAUUUCGACGACAUCUAUUUUCUCUCCAAACCAAACCAUAACCUCUCUAUUCUCUAUUCUUUCUCGCUCUUCUCUCUCACCGUCGACCACACUCAGAAUCAGAACUUGACUGCCAAGGCAAACACCAAUACAACGGAGAAAUGAACAGCUCAAGUGAAAAUCAAUGGCGAAUUCAUCGUCUUCACCAUCAUCUUCUUCAACCUUGUUGUCGGCUAUGGCGGCAACAUCCGAUAAAGAUAAAGAAGAUAUACUGGAAAGAAUGCUUACCAACUUAGCUUUUUCCUCGCGCUAUCUUACUCGCCAAGCUUCUUCCUCGCGCUAUCGCUGCUCUCUCUUCUCAAUCUACUUCAAUUCGAUUAUUCGAACAAGGUCCUUUAACACUUUAUUCGUUCAAUUCUGUAUUUCUUUCAUUUUUGUUGAAUUUUGAUUUGAUUUCGUAUUUGUGUGUUGCGGCGGAUUGAGUUAUUUUGUUUCUGAGUUUUUUGGAUUAUUUUGUGUUGUGAAUGUUAGGGUUUUUGCUACUACUGAUGAAAUUAAUCGAAUUUUCAAUGAAUUAAGGUGUUUUGAAUUGUUAUAUUUGAUUACUUGAUGAUUAAGCAUGGUUGUAGUGACAAUGAUUAAGCAUGGUUGUAGUGACAAUUGUUAUAGUUGAAUUGUUAAAUUGUAGUGUUGGUAAAAGUGGACAAUUAAGUGAUAGAGCGUUGCUUCUCCUUGAGAAGUGUGUGUUUAGGAUUGGAGUUCAAUGUCGAAUAUCCAGUGAUGCUAGUUCAUAACAAAUUGGAUAUCUAAUUCUGAAUGUUCUGUAUUAGAUCAUGAAUGUUGGAUAAUGAAAUCAAUAUUUCACCACUAUAAAUAGCUAAUAGAUGAUGUUCAAUUGCAACCAGGAAAUGUUAUGAACAAGGAAGCGACUAUUAGUAGUAUGUAUUAGGAAUUUCUCACCAAUGUCAAGACUAUUCAUUUACAAGGACAGGUUAUUCAUUUACAAGACUAUUCUGUACAUGAAGGUUUUGGUUUGGAUGACUGAUCAUACAUUUAGAGUGAUAUGUGAGUUAAUUGUAUAGAGACUAACUAAAGGCAACUAGAUAGGUGAAAAAUUGGUAAAUGUAACUUUUAUGAGUUCAGAUUUAUCCUCGAGUAAGGAGAUCAUUAGAAUAAUUGAUAUGUCAUCUCUAUUUGAAGUCUCAUAUUGUUUGAUUAUGCUUAUAGAAAUGAUGGUACUCUGCUCUUCUGCUAUUAAAGGAACAGUUAGUAAGGGUGUCUAAGCAUAUCUAAACAUAAGAUGCCAAAAGGGUGUCUUUUGUUAGUUGAUUGUAGUACAGGUUGGUUCCAUACACACAACUUUGAUGCUUUUAAACAUGAAAUGUGGGAUCUUUAAUUAUUUAGAUCUUCAGAGUAUUGCUCGAUUAGCUAGAAAGUGUCUAAUUAUGAUUUUAGAAUGAUUGAUGUGUUGUUGCUCCUUGAAUUAGGUACUUGAAAUUUUGAGUCAUAUAAAUAAGCGCGUGAAGCAUGAGCCAGGAAUUGGCUUGCCAUUAUCCGAAUUAUGGAGUAUGUAUACAGAAGCAACCGCUGCUGCAAUGGUCCGGAAUUUUUGCAUCAUUUACAUUGAGAUGGCAUUUGAGCGCUCAGAGAUAGAGGUCCAGAAAAGUAUGGCUCCCAAAUUUUUGGUAGACAUUUCGAAGCUUCCUCCUCAGCAUCAAGCAAUAAUUCUUAGAGCUUGUGUAAAGGUCAUUGAUGAAGCUCAUUCUCGCAAAUUUGACGAUGAAAUUGCUGCAAAGUAUAGACUGAUGAGAGGUUCUCAGGACUGUGAAAUAUUUGUUGAAUUUUGCCUGCAUACAGUUUUGUACCAACCAUCUCAAAUGUAUAUUUCUAGUGACUCUUAAAUGGGUUAUGAGAUUUGCGUUUGAGUUUCAGAUUUGAAGUUGGUUUCGAUCCAGAUACCAGAUUUGAAGUCCGUUUUGUUCCAGAUUUUUGUUGUGGACUUUAAAUUAGUGUACAUGUAAUUAUAUGAGAUUUGUAUUAGAUUUUGUGCUAAGUAUACUAGAAUUUAGUACUAGAAUUAUUUUUUUACUUGUAUCUACAUUUAUUAUCAAUAAUAAUUGAAUUGAUUAA